Choloepus didactylus (southern two-toed sloth) is the source of this 310-nucleotide long non-coding RNA. RefSeq lists it as uncharacterized. Lineage: Eukaryota; Metazoa; Chordata; Mammalia; Pilosa; Megalonychidae. The transcript has 3 exons. The record is from RefSeq and is a predicted model, not a curated record.
UGAAGGAAAAGGGGACUAUUAUCAGGCUCCACACAGUGCAUUUUUCCCACUUGGAGUCUUGGAAGCUCAGUUUUAAGAAGCAACCAUGGCUAUUUUUGAUGAUGCCAAGUUCCAGCUUGUGGAUGGCUGAGACAGCAUGGAUGAGAUGGACUUUGGAAAUAAGGAGGCUAAAGAGCUGCAAGUCAGAUGGAUGUUCUAAGUAACCACUAAAGUUGUUCUAUUCAUUGAAAAGCUUCUUUACCUCACACCAUUAUCUGAAACAAUUGGUGGAGCUCUGGUUUCUUGCUGAGCCAAAAUCACUCAUCACUAC